GGGGCCGUAGUGUAGCUUGGAUACCACUCAAGGCUGGGGGUCUUGCAACCGGGGUUCAAAUCCUCGCGGCCCCA
RNAcentral lists this transfer RNA (74 nucleotides) under Nanobdellota archaeon. Its description in RNAcentral is "tRNA-Pro". It matches the Rfam family "tRNA". From Rfam's summary of the family: Transfer RNA (tRNA) molecules are approximately 80 nucleotides in length. Their secondary structure includes four short double-helical elements and three loops (D, anti-codon, and T loops). The record is from RNAcentral. Lineage: Archaea; Nanobdellati; Nanobdellota.